RNAcentral lists this ribosomal RNA (494 nucleotides) under Cladosporium cladosporioides. RNAcentral describes it as "eukaryotic LSU rRNA". The stretch from base 140 to 293 matches the Rfam family "5.8S ribosomal RNA". The record is from RNAcentral. Lineage: Eukaryota; Fungi; Ascomycota; Dothideomycetes; Cladosporiales; Cladosporiaceae.
UACACCGGGAUGUUCAUAACCCUUUGUUGUCCGACUCUGUUGCCUCCGGGGCGACCCUGCCUUCGGGCGGGGGCUCCGGGUGGACACUUCAAACUCUUGCGUAACUUUGCAGUCUGAGUAAACUUAAUUAAUAAAUUAAAACUUUUAACAACGGAUCUCUUGGUUCUGGCAUCGAUGAAGAACGCAGCGAAAUGCGAUAAGUAAUGUGAAUUGCAGAAUUCAGUGAAUCAUCGAAUCUUUGAACGCACAUUGCGCCCCCUGGUAUUCCGGGGGGCAUGCCUGUUCGAGCGUCAUUUCACCACUCAAGCCUCGCUUGGUAUUGGGCAACGCGGUCCGCCGCGUGCCUCAAAUCGACCGGCUGGGUCUUCUGUCCCCUAAGCGUUGUGGAAACUAUUCGCUAAAGGGUGUUCGGGAGGCUACGCCGUAAAACAACCCCAUUUCUAAGGUUGACCUCGGAUCAGGUAGGGAUACCCGCUGAACUUAAGCAUAUCAAA